UACCAGUGAAAUUAUUAUCAGCUCCCAAAGAUAUCGGCAUUCCUGGAGGGCAAAGGGAAGGCUGUGUUGUCUCAGGUGACUUGAUGUUGUCACUAAGCUACUGAGGUAGGUGCUGCCAACGUGAACCACUAAGAAGCGCUG
RNAcentral lists this long non-coding RNA (141 nucleotides) under Anser brachyrhynchus (Pink-footed goose). Its description in RNAcentral is "lncRNA (ENSABRG00000015472.1)". Lineage: Eukaryota; Metazoa; Chordata; Aves; Anseriformes; Anatidae. The record is from RNAcentral.